CACAAAGGGACAACGGGUAUGCACAGCAGCCACCGGCUCCGCGGUACGCAGCAGCGUCGCUACACAGGGACUACCGGCACCCACGGUCGUCAAACGACCACCAGGGGUACAGGUGGUCCCUCAAACAGUAGCUACAAGAGGUACAACGGGAAGAAGAGCGGGCACAGCUGCGGCACGUAGGGACAUGGCCACCGGGACCACACAGGUACGACGGGCAUCCGUGGUAGUCACCGGCCCCGCGGCCACCGACUCCGCGGUACGCAGCGGCGCCAGUACACAGGGAAGACGGGCAUCCAAGGUGGUCAGACGACCACCAGGGGUACCGGUGGUCCCUCGAAAAGUAACUACAAGAGGUACUGCGGGAAGAAGAGCGACUACAGCCACAGCACGUAGGGGCACGGCCACCUGGGUCACACAAACACGACGGACCUCCGUGAUAGCCACCGGCCCCACGGUGGCCAUCGACUCCGCGGUACGCAGCGGCGCUGUCAUACAGGGACAACUGGCAACCACGGUGGUCAGACGACUACCAGGAGUACCAGUGGUCCCUCGAACAGUAACUACAAGAGGUGCUGCGGGAAGAAGAGCGGCCACAGCCGCGGCACGUAGGGGCACGGCCACCGAGGCCACACAGGCACGACGGGCAUCCGUGGUAGCCACUGGCCCCACGGUACGCAGGGGCGUCACCACACAGGGACGACGGGCACCCACCGUCGCCGGCCGACCACUAGUGGCACCGACGACCUCUCGAAGAGGAACUAGAACGAGUACUACGAGAAGAAGAGCGGCCACGGCACAGGGACCACGAGGUAGGUCGCGGCUUGAACAGUGAGCCCUUUAGAUGAUCACCACAACAAGUGAACCUCGUCCACCAACACACU
Molecule: ribosomal RNA, 881 nt
Filed under: Triticum aestivum (bread wheat)
Lineage: Eukaryota; Viridiplantae; Streptophyta; Magnoliopsida; Poales; Poaceae
Description: partial small subunit ribosomal RNA
Source: RNAcentral